This 325-nucleotide ribosomal RNA is filed under the name uncultured eukaryote. RNAcentral's name for it is "partial 18S ribosomal RNA". It matches the Rfam family "Eukaryotic small subunit ribosomal RNA", at positions 1470 to 1796 of the family's 1831-position model. The record is from RNAcentral.
CCCUUAGAUGUCCUGGGCCGCACGCGCGCUACACUGAUGCAUUCAACGAGUUUUACCUUGGCCGAGAGGCCUGGGCAAUCUUUUGAACCUGCAUCGUGAUAGGGAUAGAUUAUUGCAAUUAUUAAUCUUGAACGAGGAAUUCCUAGUAAACGCAGAUCAUCAAUCUGCAUUGAUUACGUCCCUGCCCUUUGUACACACCGCCCGCCGCACCUACCGAUUGAAUGGUCCGGUGAAGCCUCGGGAUUGUGGCGAGUUCCCUUUAUUGGGAGUUUGUCGCGAGAACUUGUCUAAACCUUAUCAUUUAGAGGAAGGUGAAGUCGUAACA